RNAcentral lists this non-coding RNA (29 nucleotides) under Mus musculus (house mouse). The record is from RNAcentral. Lineage: Eukaryota; Metazoa; Chordata; Mammalia; Rodentia; Muridae.
UAUGCGUUAUGCUUGUUCUUAUUUUAUUA